UGGUGUGAGAUGGACCCGCGUCUGAUUAGCCAGUUGGCGGGGUAACGGCCCACCAAAGCGACGAUCAGUAGCCGGCCUGAGAGGGUGAACGGCCACAUUGGGACUGAGACACGGCCCAAACUCCUACGGGAGGCAGCAUG
This 140-nucleotide ribosomal RNA is filed under the name uncultured bacterium. Its description in RNAcentral is "partial 16S ribosomal RNA". It matches the Rfam family "Bacterial small subunit ribosomal RNA", at positions 216 to 353 of the family's 1533-position model. The record is from RNAcentral.